UAAGGAAUAUUGGUCAAUGGACGAAAGUCUGAACCAGCCAUGCCGCGUGAAGGAUGACGGCCCUCUGGGUUGUAAACUUCUUUUAUCUGGGACGAAAAAAGGUCAUUCUUGAUCACUUGACGGUACCAGAGGAAUAAGCACCGGCUAACUCCGUGCCAGCAGCCGCGGUAAUACGGAGGGUGCAAGCGUUAUCCGGAUUUACUGGGUUUAAAGGGUGCGUAGGUGGGUCUGUAAGUCAGUGGUGAAAUCUCCGAGCUUAACUCGGAAACUGCCAUUGAUACUAUAGGUCUUGAAUUAUCUGGAGGUAAGCGGAAUAUGUCAUGUAGCGGUGAAAUGCUUAGAUAUGACAUAGAACACCAAUUGCGAAGGCAGCUUACUACGGAUUGAUUGACACUGAGGCACGAAAGCGUGGGGAUCAAA
This 420-nucleotide ribosomal RNA is filed under the name uncultured bacterium. RNAcentral describes it as "bacterial SSU rRNA". It matches the Rfam family "Bacterial small subunit ribosomal RNA", at positions 355 to 772 of the family's 1533-position model. The record is from RNAcentral.